This is a long non-coding RNA of Zea mays, 79 nucleotides long. RefSeq lists it as uncharacterized. The transcript has 2 exons. The record is from RefSeq and is a predicted model, not a curated record. Lineage: Eukaryota; Viridiplantae; Streptophyta; Magnoliopsida; Poales; Poaceae.
UCCAUCGCUUCAAUUGGCAAAGGCUUUGGACAAUCUCUCCAGGGAAGUGCAUCACAUCAAUUUGUUGGAGCCCUGAUGG